Molecule: ribosomal RNA, 468 nt
Filed under: uncultured bacterium
Lineage: Bacteria
Description: partial 16S ribosomal RNA
Rfam family: Bacterial small subunit ribosomal RNA
Source: RNAcentral
GACGAACGCUGGCGGCGUGCUUAACACAUGCAAGUCGAACGGAAAGGCCCUGCUUUUGUGGGUUGCUCGAGUGGCGAACGGGUGAGUAACACGUGAGUAACCUGCCCUUGACUUUGGGAUAACUUCAGGAAACUGGGGCUAAUACCGGAUAGGAGCUCCUGCUGCAUGGUGGGGGUUGGAAAGUUUCGGCGGUUGGGGAUGGACUCGCGGCUUAUCAGCUUGUUGGUGGGGUAGUGGCUUACCAAGGCUUUGACGGGUAGCCGGCCUGAGAGGGUGACCGGCCACAUUGGGACUGAGAUACGGCCCAGACUCCUACGGGAGGCAGCAGUGGGGAAUAUUGCACAAUGGGCGGAAGCCCGAUGCAGCAACGCCGCGUGCGGGAUGACGGCCUUCGGGCUGUAAACCGCUUUCGCCUGUGACGAAGCGUGAGUGACGGUAAUGGGUAAAGAAGCACCGGCUAACUACGUG